This is a long non-coding RNA of Gossypium raimondii (Peruvian cotton), 1491 nucleotides long. RefSeq lists it as uncharacterized. NCBI's taxonomy places the organism in Eukaryota, Viridiplantae, Streptophyta, Magnoliopsida, Malvales, Malvaceae. The transcript has 3 exons. The record is from RefSeq and is a predicted model, not a curated record.
UAAACACCAUUAAGCUAUAUGUAUUGGAUGUUGCUCCUUCACCCAUUUCUUCAAUCCGGAUUUCUUUGCCAAUCUUCAUCCAAGGUUGAAAUAUGACGUUCCAGUUCUUCUCUUAUCAGAUUUCCCCUCAUAUCCCAACCUACUAAUCCAGUCGCUGAUUUGGAGGUUCUACUGUCCAGUGAUGUAUCAAAUUUGAUCGAUAUUCUCGGUACGUUUUCCUGUAUUUUGUGACUCUUGAAAAUUUUCUCAGUUUUCUUCACAGCAUUUAUUCCUUCAUAUUCUGCCAUAUGUCUUUGAAUAUUCUGAGCUAAUCCCCUUCUUGUUGAAUUUUUCCCCUCGUGAAUGAGUUUGUUUCUAAAGGACCAUUUCAACCAUAACGCAUAGCAGAAAAGCCGACACUGGUAAUAGUUGCUGUUCUUGAAAACCCAGGUUAGCCACUCCUAUGUAUUCUGACUCGUAUUCUUCAUGACCCAUGAUAAAUUUAAUGAUUGCCACACUUCUCUUGUGAAAGGACACUCUCGGAAAACAUGAAGACUCUCUUCUACUCCAGAAUAACACCGUGGACAGCAGGCAGUUGAAAUGACCCUCCUCAAACUGAGAUUACCAAGAUGAGGGAUAUAAUCCCAUGAAAUCCUCCAAAUUGUAAUUGCAAUUUUUGAAGGCAAUUGUUGGCUCCAUAAUUUUUUGUAAAAUUUUUUUAUUUCGGUCUGUAGUAAGUAGUCAUUGGCUAUAGAGGCAUAUUGUAAUAAAUUAUAGGCACUACGUACUAAAAACUCACCAGAUAGUUCUCCACUCCACACCUGAAUAUCCUUAUGUUCAGUCUCUGCCAGGGGAAUUUGUAGAAUCUUCCGAGCAGUAUCUUCUUGAAAGUUGUCUUCCCAGAUAGAAAUGCUAUUACCUUUACCAACUCUCCAACCCAAUCCUCUUUGGAGAAGUCCUCUUGCUGCCCAGAUGCUCUUCCAGGUAAAUGAAGGUAAAUUCCCCAACUCUGCAUUUAAGAAACUUGACUUUGGGAAAUAUUUAGCUUUCAAAACUCUGUCUAAUAAAGAAUUUGGAAAAUUAAUGAGACGCCAACCUUGUUUAGCUAAUAACGCAAUAUUAAAUUGACUAAGAUCUCGAAAACCUAAGCCACCAUUUUCUUUUAGCAAACAAAGGUUUUUCCAAGUGCACCAAUGAAUUCCCCUUUCGCCCCCUCCUUUCUGCCACCAGAAUCUUGCUAUAAUACUCUCCAUUUCAUCGUAAAGAGCUCUCGGCAAUAAGAAGCAUGCCAUAGAAUAAGUCGGAAUAGCUUGCAGAAUGGCCUUAACAAAAAUUUCUUUCCCUCUUCGUGAUAAAAACCUGUUACUCCAGUUAUCAAUACGUUUUUUUAUUCGAUCCUUUAAACUCUGAAAAGCUUCUUUUUUCUUUCGCCCCACCGUAUUGGUAGCCCUAAAUAUCUUUCAGGUUCACUUGUCCUACAUACCCCCAACACAUUUACCACCUGUCUCCUAU